GGGGGCUGUCCCUUCCACAGAGCUGCAAUCAAGCACAAAUGACUCUAAUAGUAUCAAUUGUGAGAGAGAGAGAGAGAUUUGGAGUUCACCACAAAUUCCCCAAACAAACAAUUUUACAAGAAGGACAUGACCCGCCUGGCGUUACUGCUUAGUUCUGAAUGAGUGAUACCGACUGCAGCAGGUGACCAGGCCAAGCCCAGAAAUGGGCCACAGGGACCCCAAGCACAUGCUCUUCCCCCAGACUGCCACCAUCUUGCUUUUCCUUCAGACCUAGGACCCCACGAGAGGAGGGAUCUGGAGGCCAAGCCAGGAGCAGGACAACACCAACAGAGGCCUCAGAAGAAGACUCAGAGUGGGACAGGGGCUCCUUAAGUGAUUGGGGCUGGAAGUGCGCAGAGAAGCCCGGCGCGGCAGGGAAUUGUCUCUCCCUGGGGUGCUGCCAAGAUGAAGAAACUGAGGUUUAGAGCAGCCGCUUGCCCAGCGUAGACAGCGAGAAGGACAGGUCCAGUUCUGCUUGAUGAUGAAGCCUGUGUCUUCUCUGCUGUGUGAUCCUAAUCACGUUGGGAGGUUCCUGAGGAAGCAGAGGAUUUUGCCCUUGCAUUUGAGCCACAGCAGCUCUAAGAAACAUGCCAAGUUAGCCGUCUGGUCCCACGAGAAACAUGGGAAACGGGGAUCAGAGCCAUCCUAGCCGAACUCAGCCCAGAUCAGCAGGCCUUAGUGGACCCCAAGAUAGGUAAGUCCAGAGCUGCCCAAUUGAAC
Molecule: long non-coding RNA, 759 nt
Filed under: Homo sapiens (human)
Lineage: Eukaryota; Metazoa; Chordata; Mammalia; Primates; Hominidae
Description: non-protein coding lnc-JPH3-3:9
Source: RNAcentral